RNAcentral lists this ribosomal RNA (497 nucleotides) under uncultured bacterium. Its description in RNAcentral is "partial 16S ribosomal RNA". It matches the Rfam family "Bacterial small subunit ribosomal RNA", at positions 28 to 507 of the family's 1533-position model. The record is from RNAcentral.
GAUGAACGCUGGCGGCGUGCCUAAUACAUGCAAGUCGAGCGAACGGACGAGAAGCUUGCUUCUCUGAUGUUAGCGGCGGACGGGUGAGUAACACGUGGAUAACCUACCUAUAAGACUGGGAUAACUUCGGGAAACCGGAGCUAAUACCGGAUAAUAUUUUGAACCGCAUGGUUCAAAAGUGAAAGACGGUCGUGCGGUCACGUAUAGAUGGAUCCGCGCUGCAUUAGCUAGUUGGUAAGGUAACGGCUUACCAAGGCAACGAUGCAUAGCCGACCUGAGAGGGUGAUCGGCCACACUGGAACUGAGACACGGUCCAGACUCCUACGGGAGGCAGCAGUAGGGAAUCUUCCGCAAUGGGCGAAAGCCUGACGGAGCAACGCCGCGUGAGUGAUGAAGGUCUUCGGAUCGUAAAACUCUGUUAUUAGUGAAGAACAUAUGUGUAAGUAACUGUGCACAUCUUGACGGUACCUAAUCAGAAAGCCACGGCUAACUACGUG